Molecule: ribosomal RNA, 301 nt
Filed under: uncultured bacterium
Lineage: Bacteria
Description: partial 16S ribosomal RNA
Rfam family: Bacterial small subunit ribosomal RNA
Source: RNAcentral
CAGUCGCCGCGGUAAUACGGAGGGUGCAAGCGUUAAUCGGAAUUACUGGGCGUAAAGCGCACGCAGGCGGUCUGACAAGUCAGAUGUGAAAUCCCCGGGCUUAACCUGGGAACUGCAUUUGAAACUGUCAGGCUGGAGUCUUGUAGAGGGGGGUGGAAUUCCAGGUGUAGCCGUGAAAUGCGUAGAGAUCUGGAGGAAUACCGGUGGCGAAGGCGGCCCCCUGGACAAAGACUGACGCUCAGGUGCGAAAGCGUGGGGAGCAAACAGGAUUAGAUACCCCGGUAGUCCCGUCUCUUAUACA